RNAcentral lists this non-coding RNA (30 nucleotides) under Mus musculus (house mouse). Lineage: Eukaryota; Metazoa; Chordata; Mammalia; Rodentia; Muridae. The record is from RNAcentral.
UUAAACUUGAAAUAGGAAGCCUUGUGUGAG